RNAcentral lists this non-coding RNA (24 nucleotides) under Arabidopsis thaliana (thale cress). The record is from RNAcentral. Lineage: Eukaryota; Viridiplantae; Streptophyta; Magnoliopsida; Brassicales; Brassicaceae.
AUCAGUCACGGUUAAAAAAUCUGC